This 205-nucleotide long non-coding RNA is filed under the name Elaeis guineensis (African oil palm). Its description in RNAcentral is "long non-coding RNA (EGUI_LNC022402)". Lineage: Eukaryota; Viridiplantae; Streptophyta; Magnoliopsida; Arecales; Arecaceae. The record is from RNAcentral.
GAGGUUAGAUAAAAGAGAUCGAAAGCAAAUCGAGAUGAGCGUUCUACUUACUGGCAGUCGGAUUAAGCAGAUAAUAUUUGAAGAGGCAGGUCGGUCAUGGACCAAUAUUAUUGAAGAGGUAGGUCAGAUGUAUGACGAGCUCGGCAUCCCAAUGAGAUUGGCUUUUUGAUGACCUCGGACUUCUGAUGAAGUUGGCCCCUUAAUG